This 290-nucleotide ribosomal RNA is filed under the name Troglophilus cavicola. Its description in RNAcentral is "partial 18S ribosomal RNA". It matches the Rfam family "Eukaryotic small subunit ribosomal RNA", at positions 70 to 344 of the family's 1831-position model. Lineage: Eukaryota; Metazoa; Arthropoda; Insecta; Orthoptera; Rhaphidophoridae. The record is from RNAcentral.
CCAAAUUAAGGUGAAACCGCGAAUGGCUCAUUAAAUCAGUUAUGGUUCCUUAGAUCGUACCCACGUUACUUGGAUAACUGUGGUAAUUCUAGAGCUAAUACAUGCAAACAGAGCUCUGACCNGAAAUGGAAGGAGCGCUUUUAUUAGAUCAAAACCAAUCGGUCGGCUUGUCCGGUCCGUUUGCCUUGGUGACUCUGAAUAACUUUNNGCUGAUCGCANGGUCUNUGUACCGGCGACGCAUCUUUCAAAUGUCUGCCUUAUCAACUUACGAUGGUAGGUUCUGCGCCUAC